GGGACUAGGUGAUUUGGGGGCGGGGCGGAGGAAGGAUACAAGCCUGACGCAAUCCUCCGCCCCGCCCCCAAAUCACCUAGUCCCAGUCUUUUCAU
Paramuricea clavata is the source of this 95-nucleotide non-coding RNA. The record is from the annotation of a GenBank genome assembly. NCBI's taxonomy places the organism in Eukaryota, Metazoa, Cnidaria, Anthozoa, Malacalcyonacea, Plexauridae.